AGUGAACGCUGGCGGUAGGCCUAACACAUGCAAGUCGAACGGCAGCACAGUAAGAGCUUGCUCUUACGGGUGGCGAGUGGCGGACGGGUGAGGAAUACAUCGGAAUCUACUUUUUCGUGGGGGAUAACGUAGGGAAACUUACGCUAAUACCGCAUACGACCUACGCGUGAAAGCAGGGGAUCUUCGGACCUUGCGCGAUUGAAUGAGCCGAUGUCGGAUUAGCUAGUUGGCGGGGUAAAGGCCCACCAAGGCGACGAUCCGUAGCCGGUCUGAGAGGAUGAUCAGCCACACUGGAACUGAGACACGGUCCAGACUCCUACGGGAGGCAGCAGUGGGGAAUACUGGACAAUGGGCGCAAGCCUGAUCCAGCCAUACCGCGUGGGUGAAGAAGGCCUUCGGGUUGUAAAGCCCUUUUGUUGGGAAAGAAAAGCAGCAGGUUAAUACCCCGCUGUUCUGACGGUACCCAAAGAAUAAGCACCGGCUAACUUCGUG
Molecule: ribosomal RNA, 492 nt
Filed under: uncultured bacterium
Lineage: Bacteria
Description: partial 16S ribosomal RNA
Rfam family: Bacterial small subunit ribosomal RNA
Source: RNAcentral